RNAcentral lists this ribosomal RNA (253 nucleotides) under uncultured bacterium. RNAcentral describes it as "partial 16S ribosomal RNA". It matches the Rfam family "Bacterial small subunit ribosomal RNA", at positions 524 to 776 of the family's 1533-position model. The record is from RNAcentral.
UACGAAGGGGGCUAGCGUUGUUCGGAAUCACUGGGCGUAAAGCGCACGUAGGCGGAUCUUUAAGUCAGGGGUGAAAUCCUGGAGCUCAACUCCAGAACUGCCUUUGAUACUGAGGAUCUCGAGUCCGGGAGAGGUGAGUGGAACUGCGAGUGUAGAGGUGAAAUUCGUAGAUAUUCGCAAGAACACCAGUGGCGAAGGCGGCUCACUGGCCCGGUACUGACGCUGAGGUGCGAAAGCGUGGGGAGCAAACAGG